UCCCUAGUUAUGACUGUGGCUGCCUUGU
This 28-nucleotide non-coding RNA is filed under the name Rattus norvegicus (Norway rat). Lineage: Eukaryota; Metazoa; Chordata; Mammalia; Rodentia; Muridae. The record is from RNAcentral.